This 1447-nucleotide ribosomal RNA is filed under the name uncultured bacterium. RNAcentral describes it as "bacterial SSU rRNA". It matches the Rfam family "Bacterial small subunit ribosomal RNA". The record is from RNAcentral.
GAUGAACGCUAGCGGCAGGCCUCAUACAUGCAAGUCGAGGGGCAGCGGGACACUCCGGUGUUGCCGGCGACCGGCGGACGGGUGCGUAAUGCGCAUGCAAUCUACUUUACACUGGGGAAUAGCCUCCGGAAACGGGAAUUAAUACCCCAUAUAAUCUUAUUAGCGCAUGUUAAAAAGAUGAAAGCUCCGGCGGUGUAAAAUGAGCGUGCGUCCUAUUAGCUAGUUGGUGAGGUAAUGGCUCACCAAGGCUACGAUGGGUAGGGGUUCUUAGUGGAAGGUCCCCCACACUGGCACUGAGAUACGGGCCAGACUCCUACGGGAGGCAGCAGUAGGGAAUAUUGGUCAAUGGGCGCAAGCCUGAACCAGCCAUGCCGCGUGCAGGAUGAAGGCUCUCUGAGUUGUAAACUGCUUUUGUACAGGAGCAAAAAAGUCCCUGCGGGGAUUCUUGAGCGUACUGUUAAGAAUAAGCACCGGCUAAUUCCGUGCCAGCAGCCGCGGUAAUACGGGAGGUGCAAGCGUUAUCCGGUUUUAUUGGGUUUAAGGGUGCGUAGGCGGCUUAUUAAGUCAGUUGUGAAAUCCUAGUGCUUAACGCUAGAACUGCGAUUGAUACUAUUAGGCUUGAGUUAAGAAGAGGUAAGCAGAAUUUAUGGUGUAGUAGUGAAAUGCUUAGAUAUCAUAAGGAAUACCAAUAGCGUAGGCAGCUUACUGGUCUUUAACUGACGCUGAGGCACGAAAGCGUGGGGAGCAAACAGGAUUAGAUACCCUGGUAGUCCACGCCGUAAACGAUGAUCACUCGAUAUACAUGAUACAUCAUGUGUGUCUAAGCGAAAGCGUUAAGUGAUCCACCUGGGGAGUAUACUCGCAAGGGUGAAACUCAAAGGAAUUGACGGGGGUCCGCACAAGCGGUGGAGUAUGUGGUUUAAUUCGAUAAUACGCGAGGAACCUUACCUGGGCUAGAAUGUGUUUUGCUACCUUGAGAAAUUGAGGGUUCCUUCGGGACGGAAUACAAGGUGCUGCAUGGCUGUCGUCAGCUCGUGCCGUGAGGUGUUGGGUUAAGUCCUAUAACGAGCGAAACCCUUUUACUUAAUUGCCAGCACGUAAUGGUGGGGACUUUAAGUAGACUGCCCGUGUAAGCGGGAGGAAGGAGAGGACGAGGUCAAGUCAUCAUGGCCUUUAUGCCCAGGGCUACACACGUACUACAAUGGCAUGUACAAAGGGAAGCUACUUGGCAACAAGAUGCAAAUCUCAAAAGCAUGUCUCAGUUCGGAUUGAGGUCUGCAAUUCGACCUCAUGAAGUUGGAAUCGCUAGUAAUCGCGUAUCAGCAAUGACGCGGUGAAUACGUUCUCGGACCUUGUACACACCGCCCAUCAAGCCAUGGGAGUUGGUAGAGCUUGAAGACAGUGGCCGUAAAAGGAGCUGUUUAGUGUUAGACCAGCGACUGGGGCU